AGAUGGAGGUCAAGCAGAAGGGGCAGAGGAUGAACUGGAAGUCCGGUUUCAGAGUAGAAGACUUUGGAGACCAAGUCCCACUCCCAUUGAACAGAUGGGCCACUGAGGCCAGGAGGGAAGCUGCCCCCCACCAGCCAGCACUGUGUCACCACUCACUUGCCUGCACCACAGCGCCAGGUGUUAGGCCAGGCCAGCAGUUUCCCAGACCGGUGCUCCUGUUUCCUAAGAUGUCUGCCAGGCAUCAAAGAAAGGUCUAUGCAUAUGAGAGAAAAAAUACCUAGGGAAGGAGAAAAAGGAGAAGAAACAGACAAGAGAGAAAGGAGAAAGAGCUGGGAGCAGGGAAGGAAUAGAAGGCCAGCAGGCCAGUGCUGAGAAUGCUGGGCAGACCCCCUGCCAGGGCCUGAAAUGCUGCCAUUGGUGACUCAACCUUUUGUCUUCAAAACUGCAAGGGAGAAAAAAAAUCUCACACUAGGGGGCACCACAGCUUUUAUCAGCAAUCCCAUUAGAGGCUAAGGCUGAGAGGCAUGAGAGUGCAAGUUCAACGCCCCCUUUGAUGUUGGAAUCAAGCUGUCAGGGGUUCAGUACCAGCAGCACAGCCAGGCCCUGGGGAAGUUUCUUCAGGACAUCCUCUGGGAAGAGGCCAAAGAGGCCCCAGCCGACAAGUGAUCGCCCACAAGCCUUACUCACCUCUCUCUAAGUUUAGAAGCGCUCAUCUGGCUUUUCGCUUG
Molecule: long non-coding RNA, 728 nt
Filed under: Homo sapiens (human)
Lineage: Eukaryota; Metazoa; Chordata; Mammalia; Primates; Hominidae
Description: non-protein coding lnc-GHRL-3:6
Source: RNAcentral